GGGAAUGGGUGGGAUUUGGGGUCUCUCCAGCCCACACCAGUGUGUGAUUUGAACUUCUGGAUUUGUGAUGUGCAUUGUGUUUGAAUUGGUUGUUGAGUGCAAGAGUAACACUGUAAAAACAGAGUCUGAAAUAGGUUUUGUUUAAGCCAGGUUCAGAUUUCAAACUCAUCCUUGCCAGAGGGGGGUGACUGCCACAGGAAUUUCAUUCAUUUCUGUGUCAGCUGGGGACACAGCUCAGGGCUGGUUGUGGGGGUGACACAGGGUGACCUUGAAGGGCUCAUCCAGCCCUGAUGAUUCUGUGAACUACAGACAUGGAAAAUGUGUUAUUUAUCUUAGAUCAACUGUCAUCAGGUGUGACUUGUGUGACAUUUAAGCACUGCUCUGGCAGGGUUUGUUUGCAUUGCUCAUUUGUGGUGCAGUAAUGGGCUGGAAUCUUUGCUAUUCUUGUCUCAAUACCUACAGUUGUGUAAGAAUAAAUCAUAACAGUAAUGGACUUUUCAUUGAUACUUUACACGAUUUUAGGGUUUCUUUUAUUCAGUUCCAAGAAAGGACAGCAACUGGGGUUUUGUCACUUGUGAAUAAUGCUGAUUAAUGAUACUUAAUUAUAUUUAAUUAUAUGUAAUAUCUCUAUUACCUUCAGAGGUGCUUCUGAUUUAUCUCUGUUUAUCAAUCCCCACGCCCUUGUUAUUCCCACAGUGCUGCUGGAGCACUGCUUAGAGAAAUUUGGGGUUGACAGUCUCAGGGAGAGUUCAUGCCCUGAGUCCUGGGCAGCACCAGCUCAGUCAUGCACAAGAAAUGUUGGUGUCACAAGAACUUACUGGAAGUCACUGGUGCCAGUAAUUUGUUUUGUUGCAUAAGGAGGCAGGGGAGGCAUCAGGAUUUAAAUUAAUUUAAUUUGGCUUUGUUCUACAUAAGCACCUCAGGCAAGGCAGAGGCUGCAUUUGAAUUUUGGAUGAGUGAGAAGUGCUGGAGCAAACACUGCAAUGUUUGGUUCUGAUUCCUCCCCCAGUUUCUGGAAUGAUCCCAAAGCCCCGAAACGCAAGGAUCACUUCAGUCAAUCUUCACAGCACCUUGCAGUGGGAUGCACCAAGGUUCCCUGAAGGGAACAUCACCUACACUGUCCGAUCCAAGAGCAUCAACAUCCCCGGGGACAGCUACGACACGCUGGGGACGCGGCUGAGGCUGCCCGAGUGCGACGUGUCCUCUCUGUCCGUGUACGGUCACUACGUCCUGCAGCUGCGCGCCGAGGCGGGACGGCUGCGCUCCCCCUGGCUCACCCUCCGCUUCAAACCCAUGGAUGACACCACCGUUGGCCCCCCUGAGGUGAGGCUGAAGUCGGAGUCCGGGGCUCUUCACGUGGAUUUCUCGGGGCCCUUUGCAGGGCACGGGCAGGACAGGUGGCCCCUGAGGCACUACUAUGGCUCCUGGAAUUACAGGAUCUUCUACUGGAAGAAAGGCAGCACAGACACAGACCUGGCCUCUGCUUCCAGGGUUGCUCAGGUGGACACCAAACACAACUCUGAGAUCCUCUCCCAGCUGGAGCCAUGGACAGUUUAUUGUGUCCGAGUGCAGGCGGUGAUUCCCGAGUGGAACAAGACAGGGGAGCUGAGCAAGGAGCUCUGUGAGCAGACAACCCACAAUGGUGUAACCCCUGUGUGGGUAAUUGUGACUAUCCUGGUGGGAUCAAUGCUUGUUGUGGCCACAGCUGUCACUGCUUGUUUCUUCUCCAGUUUUUAUCUCUACAGACUCACCAAACACGUUUUCUGCCCUUCCUAUGUUUUCCCAGAACACUUGAAAGAGCGAAGUCCUGUCAUGAGUGCAAUCAGGAGCUGAACUUCAGGAAAGUGUCUGAGGAAGGAACCUGGGCUGGAUCAGCUCUACCAGAGCAGCCUGGGCUGUGGGAGGUGUCCCUGGCCAUGGCAGGGGCAGGAUGGGAUGAGCUUUGGAGUCCCAUCCAACCCAAACCAUUCUGGGAAUCUGUGAUCCUAUGGAGUCUGAAAAUUGGGGAGCGGUGACAGCAGCCAUUGCUGAUGGGCACCCACUGUCCCUGUCACACACCCAGAGGACAAGGAGGCUGCAGCAGAAUCCCUUCCCAGAAACGAGGAUGUACAAAAUGCUCCUGCACCAACCUGUGCUCUCCUGAGCUCCUGCAGUUCCUCUGGGGCUUUCAUUUUGACUCACUCAGAGCUCUGCACCCCCAGGUUUGCAGCUGACUUUGGCUCCUGCUUUAGUUUUUGAGCAAACCUCCCAGUGCUCUGCAGCCUUUCCCUCCACUUCCAAACGAAGAACUCCUGGUUUAUGACAAGCUGAUU
Cyanistes caeruleus (blue tit) is the source of this 2312-nucleotide non-coding RNA. The record is from RefSeq and is a predicted model, not a curated record. NCBI's taxonomy places the organism in Eukaryota, Metazoa, Chordata, Aves, Passeriformes, Paridae.